CAUUAUUGAAUUAGACUGAGGGGGGGGGGAAGACGGACUGCCAGAGAUUGUUGCUGGCAUGGAUGCAUGUGCACGUCUUUGCUUUCUGUCGACCCCUUUCUCUUUUGUCCACACACCUGUGCACUUUCUGUAGGUCCUCGAAAAGGGGAUCUAUGUUUUUUACACACACUACGUACACAAUGUUGUAUAUAUUGUAUGGCUGGAGGAUUAAUGUGAAAACAUGCAUGUCGUUAUACAACUUUCAGCAACGGAUCUCUUGGCUCUCGCAUCGAUGAANAACGCAGCGAAUUGCGAUAAGUAAUGUGAAUUGCANAUUUCCAGUGAAUCAUCGAAUCUUUGAACGCACCUUGCGCUCCUUGGUAUUCCGAGGAGCAUGCCUGUUUGAGUGUCAUUGAAUUAUCAACCAUGUCUUUGUUGACGUGGCUUGGAGUUUGGGAGGUUGCUGGCUUGUCAGCUCUUCUGAAAUGUAUUGGCAGAUGGUCGCUUGGUCCUUGACGUGCACGGCCUCGGACGUGAUAAUGAUCGUCGUCGCUGGAGUGUCUUGGAACACGCAGGAAUGGCCUGUUGCCUUUAAUCUAAAUAUAUGCUUUAGCUACUAGCUUUCGUCGCAAGACGCGGGCGAAUGCACGGCAUGUAGAUCUUGGAAACUUGACCUUGACCUCGAAUCAGGUAGGACUACCCGCUGAACUUAAGCAUAUCAAUAAGCGGAGGA
Molecule: ribosomal RNA, 712 nt
Filed under: uncultured fungus
Lineage: Eukaryota; Fungi
Description: eukaryotic LSU rRNA
Rfam family: 5.8S ribosomal RNA (bases 237-391)
Source: RNAcentral